Non-coding RNA from Ceratobasidium sp. 395, 99 nucleotides. Lineage: Eukaryota; Fungi; Basidiomycota; Agaricomycetes; Cantharellales; Ceratobasidiaceae. The record is from the annotation of a GenBank genome assembly.
GACCGCUUAGCUCAGUGGUAGAGCGUGUGAUUCCAGCUUACGUAAAUCGCUUACGUAACGGAGUCCACAAGGUCGUCCGUUCAAUCCGGGCAGUGGUCA